AGAGAAUAUCUGCCCCUUGACCCUACAGGCCACCCUUGGGCACCUCAGUUCCUCCUACCUGCGGAGCUUUCAGACCUGUCACCAGCUGGAGAGGGUGGGCACAGCAUGGGGAGAAUUGCUGCAGACUAAACACAAGAGUCUUCACUCUCUCCAAGGAAUACGCUCUUUCCCUUUUCUUGGGGCAAGAGCCCUCAAGCUGCCUUUGGUUACUCCGUGUGGAGUAGACGUACACAUCGGAAGACCUCUUACGAAGCCACCUGGCAAGCCAUCCCUUCUUUAGAUUUUCAACGUUCUCAUCUGUUAAAAAUGAAAAUAAUCCUCCAGCACGGCUGCUCCUCCUCACAGGAUGGGAUGAAGUGAUGGAGAGAGGAGAGUGCUUACAAAUUGAAAGAUGAUUACUGACUGGAUUGCCAACACCCUUUUCUCUCAUUUCUAGUCCG
Molecule: long non-coding RNA, 440 nt
Organism: Capra hircus (goat)
Lineage: Eukaryota; Metazoa; Chordata; Mammalia; Artiodactyla; Bovidae
Exons: 3
Source: RefSeq, a predicted model, not a curated record